CCUACGGGAGGCAGCAGUGGGGAAUUUUGGACAAUGGGCGAAAGCCUGAUCCAGCAAUGCCGCGUGAGUGAAGAAGGCCUUCGGGUUGUAAAGCUCUUUUGUCAGGGAAGAAACGGUGUUUUCUAAUACAGAAUGCUAAUGACGGUACCUGAAGAAUAAGCACCGGCUAACUACGUGCCAGCAGCCGCGGUAAUACGUAGGGUGCAAGCGUUAAUCGGAAUUACUGGGCGUAAAGCGUGCGCAGGCGGUUUUGUAAGUCUGACGUGAAAUCCCCGGGCUCAACCUGGGAAUUGCGUUGGAGACUGCAAGGCUAGAGUUUGGCAGAGGGGGGUAGAAUUCCACGUGUAGCAGUGAAAUGCGUAGAUAUGUGGAGGAACACCGAUGGCGAAGGCAGCCCCCUGGGUCAAGACUGACGCUCAUGCACGAAAGCGUGGGGAGCAAACAGGGUUAGAUACCCUGGUAGUCCACGCCCUAAACGAUGUCUACUAGUUGUCGGGUCUUAAUUGACUUGGUAACGCAGCUAACGCGUGAAGUAGACCGCCUGGGGGAGGUAGGUCGCGAAGAAGUAAACUUAACUUAAAGUAAAGUUAGUUAGGCGUUGAGAGNGCGACGGACGACGACGAGGGAGGAGGAG
This 634-nucleotide ribosomal RNA is filed under the name uncultured bacterium. Its description in RNAcentral is "bacterial SSU rRNA". The stretch from base 1 to 542 matches the Rfam family "Bacterial small subunit ribosomal RNA", at positions 338 to 873 of the family's 1533-position model. The record is from RNAcentral.